RNAcentral lists this ribosomal RNA (899 nucleotides) under uncultured microorganism. Its description in RNAcentral is "partial 16S ribosomal RNA". It matches the Rfam family "Bacterial small subunit ribosomal RNA", at positions 598 to 1502 of the family's 1533-position model. The record is from RNAcentral.
AAAUUUGCAGNUCAACUGUAGAAUUGCCUUUAAUACUGGUAUCUUGAAUUAUUAUGAAGUAGUUAGAAUAUGUAGUGUAGCGGUGAAAUGCAUAGAUAUUACAUAGAAUACCNAUUGNGAAGGCAGAUUANUAAUAAUCAAUUGACACUGAUGGACGAAAGCGUAGGUAGCGAACGGGAUUAGAUACCCCGGUAGUCUACGCCGUAAACGAUGGAUACUAGCUGUUGGACUUCGGUUCAGUGGCUAAGCGAAAGUGAUAAGUAUCCCACCUGGGGAGUACGUUCGCAAGAAUGAAACUCAAAGGAAUUGACGGGGGCCCGCACAAGCGGUGGAGCAUGUGGUUUAAUUCGAUGAUACGCGAGGAACCUUACCAGGGCUUAAAUGUAGAUUGACAGGUUUAGAGAUAGACUUUUCUUCGGACAAUUUACAAGGUGCUGCAUGGUUGUCGUCAGCUCGUGCCGUGAGGUGUCAGGUUAAGUCCUAUAACGAGCGCAACCCCUGUUGUUAGUUGCCAGCGAGUCAUGUCGGGAACUCUAACAAGACUGCCAGUGCAAACUGUGAGGAAGGUGGGGAUGACGUCAAAUCAUCACGGCCCUUACGUCCUGGGCUACACACGUGCUACAAUGGUAGGGACAGAGAGCAGCCACUGGGCGACCAGGAGCGAAUCUAUAAACCCUAUCACAUGUUNGGAUGCGGAGUAUUGCAAACUGGAAUACNNUGAAGCUGGAAUCGACUAGUAAUCGCAUAUCACACCAUGAUGCGGUGAAUANUUUNCCNGNCNUNGUACACUCCCNCNGUCGAGCCAUGGAAUGCUGCGAGNACCUGAAGUCCGUCAGCUGUAAGGAGGNGGCNUNGGGNAAAAUCNNUAACNUAGGGUUAAGUCNUAAGCNAGGUANNCC